This 468-nucleotide ribosomal RNA is filed under the name uncultured bacterium. Its description in RNAcentral is "partial 16S ribosomal RNA". It matches the Rfam family "Bacterial small subunit ribosomal RNA", at positions 28 to 507 of the family's 1533-position model. The record is from RNAcentral.
GACGAACGCUGGCGGCGUGCUUAACACAUGCAAGUCGAACGGAAAGGCCCUGCUUUUGUGGGGUGCUCGAGUGGCGAACGGGUGAGUAACACGUGAGUCACCUUCCCUUGACUUUGUGAUAACUUCAGGAAACUGGGGCUAAUACCUGCUAGGAGCUCCUGCUGCAUGGUGGGGGUUGGACAGUUUCGGCGGUUGGGGAUGGACUCGCGGCUUAUCAGCUUGUUGGUGGGGUAGUGGCUUACCAAGGCUUUGACGGGUAGCCGGCCUGAGAGGGUGACCGGCCACAUUGGGACUGAGAGACGGAGCAGAGUCCUACGGGAGGCAGCAGGGGAGAAUAUUGCACAAUGGGCGGAAGCGUGAUGAAGCAACGUCGCGUGCGGGAUGACGGCCUUCGGGUUGUAAACCGCUUUCGCCUGUGACGAAGCGUGAGUGACGGUAAUGGGUAAAGAAGCACCGGCUAACUACGUG